ACAAGCCAGCUUUUGGGGUAGACCUCUCUACAAUAAGAAUGGAGAAGCAUCUGAGGACCUCAUUCGUUGCUUUGUGGCUUUAUUUUUGCUGGGCGAGUGGGAAAAACCAAGUGGAACAGAGUCCUCAGUCCCUGAAAGUCCUGGAGGGAGAGAACUGCACUCUCCAAUGCAAUUACACCGUGAGCCCCUUUGGCAACUUAAGAUGGUACAAAUGGGACACAGGGAAAGAUCCUGUUGUCCUGACAGUCAUGACUUACAGUGACAGCAAACGGUCGAAUGGAAGGUACACAGCAACUCUGGAUGCUGCUGCCAAGCGAAGCUCUCUGCUCAUCACAGCCGCCCAGCUCAGCGACUCAGCUCCCUACGUCUGUGUGGUGGGCGCACUGUGCUCCCCGGGCACCAGCAGCCAGUACCCAAACCUGCACCUGGAGGUUAUCAAAGAGGUUUGGGUGGUGCCUGGCAGGUUUUAUAUGGCGAUUGGAAGGCAUGGGCAUUCUUUCCAACUUAGGCUGGGCAGAAUGGCUCCUGCAAAGAAGGAUGGUGACAACAAGAAGGGCUGUUCUGCCAUCAACGAGGUGUUGACCCAGGACUACACAAUCAGCAUUCACAAGCGAAUCCAUAACAUGGGCUUCCAGAAAUGCGCCCCUUGGACACUCAGAGAAAUCUGA
Molecule: non-coding RNA, 668 nt
Organism: Tupaia belangeri chinensis (Chinese tree shrew)
Lineage: Eukaryota; Metazoa; Chordata; Mammalia; Scandentia; Tupaiidae
Source: the annotation of a RefSeq genome assembly